Molecule: transfer RNA, 59 nt
Filed under: Pseudoniphargus unisexualis
Lineage: Eukaryota; Metazoa; Arthropoda; Malacostraca; Amphipoda; Allocrangonyctidae
Description: tRNA-Asp
Source: RNAcentral
UAGAGAUUAGUUAAAAAUAACAUUAAUUUGUCAAAUUAAAAUUACUUAUGUAUCUCUAA